RNAcentral lists this ribosomal RNA (380 nucleotides) under uncultured eukaryote. RNAcentral describes it as "partial 18S ribosomal RNA". It matches the Rfam family "Eukaryotic small subunit ribosomal RNA", at positions 592 to 976 of the family's 1831-position model. The record is from RNAcentral.
CAAUAGCGUAUAUUAAAGUUGUUGCGGUUAAAAAGCUCGUAGUUGGAUUUCUGUUGGGAACGACCGGUCCGCCCAUUGGGUGUGUAUCUGGCUUGUUCUCGGCAUCUUCUUGGUGAACAUUGCUGCACUUGACUGUGUGGAGCGCUACCCAGGACUUUUACUUUGAGGAAAUUAGAGUGUUUCAAGCAGGCAUAUGCCUUGAAUACAUUAGCAUGGAAUAAUAAGAUAGGACCUCGGUUCUAUUUUGUUGGUUUCUAGAGCUGAGGUAAUGAUUAAUAGGGAUAGUUGGGGGCAUUCGUAUUUAACUGUCAGAGGUGGAAUUCUUGGAUUUGUUAAAGACGGACUACUGCGAAAGCAUUUGCCAAGGAUGUUUUCAUUGA